AGAGUUUUGAAUCUGGCUCAGGAUGAACGCUGGCGGCGUGCUAAUACAUGCAAGUCGAGCGAACAGAUAAGGAGCUUGCUCCUUUGAAGUUAGCGGCGGACGGGUGAGUAACACGUGGGUAACCUACCUAUAAGACUGGGAUAACUUCGGGAAACCGGAGCUAAUACCGGAUAACAUUUAGAACCGCAUGGUUCUAAAGUGAAAGAUGGUUUUGCUAUCACUUAUAGAUGGACCCGCGCCGUAUUAGCUAGUUGGUAAGGUAACGGCUUACCAAGGCGACGAUACGUAGCCGACCUGAGAGGGUGAUCGGCCACACUGGAACUGAGACACGGUCCAGACUCCUACGGGAGGCAGCAGUAGGGAAUCUUCCGCAAUGGGCGAAAGCCUGACGGAGCAACGCCGCGUGAGUGAUGAAGGGUUUCGGCUCGUAAAACUCUGUUAUUAGGGAAGAACAAAUGUGUAAGUAACUGUGCACAUCUUGACGGUACCUAAUCAGAAAGCCACGGCUAACUACGUGCCAGCAGCCGCGGUAAUACGUAGGUGGCAAGCGUUAUCCGGAAUUAUUGGGCGUAAAGCGCGCGUAGGCGGUUUCUUAAGUCUGAUGUGAAAGCCCACGGCUCAACCGUGGAGGGUCAUUGGAAACUGGGAAACUUGAGUGCAGAAGAGGAAAGUGGAAUUCCAUGUGUAGCGGUGAAAUGCGCAGAGAUAUGGAGGAACACCAGUGGCGAAGGCGACUUUCUGGUCUGUAACUGACGCUGAUGUGCGAAAGCGUGGGGAUCAAACAGGAUUAGAUACCCUGGUAGUCCACGCCGUAAACGAUGAGUGCUAAGUGUUAGGGGGUUUCCGCCCCUUAGUGCUGCAGCUAACGCAUAAGCACUCCGCCCUGG
RNAcentral lists this ribosomal RNA (887 nucleotides) under Staphylococcus sp. Its description in RNAcentral is "bacterial SSU rRNA". It matches the Rfam family "Bacterial small subunit ribosomal RNA", at positions 9 to 873 of the family's 1533-position model. The record is from RNAcentral. Lineage: Bacteria; Bacillati; Bacillota; Bacilli; Caryophanales; Staphylococcaceae.